This 88-nucleotide microRNA precursor is filed under the name Bombyx mori (domestic silkworm). RNAcentral describes it as "mir-2807 microRNA precursor family". It matches the Rfam family "mir-2807 microRNA precursor family". The record is from Rfam by way of RNAcentral. Lineage: Eukaryota; Metazoa; Arthropoda; Insecta; Lepidoptera; Bombycidae.
UAAAAGUUAACUCUUUGUAUGGAGUUGGAACAGCGCCCCUAGCGGCAAACGAAGGGAAGCUGUUCCAACUCCAUACAAAUUUGAGUCA